CACGUAGUUAGCCGGCGCUUCUUAUCCAGCUAUCGUCAACCCACCCACCAGGGGCAGGCCUGCUUCACUGGCGAAAGAGGUUCACAACCCGAAGGCCUCCAUCCCUCACGCGGCGUCGCUGCAUCAGGCUUGCGCCCAUUGUGCAAUAUUCCCCACUGCUGCCUCCCGUAGGAGUCUGGGCCGUGUCUCAGUCCCAGUGUGACCGUCCACCCUCUCAGGCCGGCUACCCGUCACCGCCUUGGUAGGCCAUCACCCCACCAACAAGCUGAUAGGCCGCGAGCCCAUCCCCCACCAGAAAAAACCUUUCCCAGACCCAUCAUGCGACAGACCCAGAAUAUCCCGUAUUAGCCACACUUUCAUGCGGUUAUCCAGAAGAAGGGGGCAGGUUACUCACGUGUUACUCACCCGUUCGCCACUCAUCCACACCCCCAAAAGGACGCGCUUCACCGUUCGACUUGCAUGUGUUAAGCACGCCGCCAGCCGUUCGUCCGUCGUACGCCGAGGACGUCGUAAA
RNAcentral lists this ribosomal RNA (514 nucleotides) under uncultured Actinomyces sp. RNAcentral's name for it is "partial 16S ribosomal RNA". The record is from RNAcentral. Lineage: Bacteria; Bacillati; Actinomycetota; Actinomycetes; Actinomycetales; Actinomycetaceae.